Molecule: ribosomal RNA, 527 nt
Filed under: [Verticillium] biguttatum
Lineage: Eukaryota; Fungi; Ascomycota; Sordariomycetes; Hypocreales
Description: SSU rRNA
Rfam family: Eukaryotic small subunit ribosomal RNA
Source: RNAcentral
GCUUGUCUCAAAGAUUAAGCCAUGCAUGUCUAAGUAUAAGCAAUUAUACGGCGAAACUUGCGAAUGGCUCAUUUAUAUAAGUUAUCGUUUAUUUGAUAGUACCUUACUACUUGGAUAACCGUGGUAAUUCUAGAGCUAAUACAUGCUAAAAAUCCCGACUUCGGAAGGGAUGUAUUUAUUAGAUUAAAAACCAAUGCCCUUCGGGGCUCUCUGGUGAUUCAUGAUAACUUCUCGAAUCGCAUGGCCUUGCGCCGGCGAUGGUUCAUUCAAAUUUCUUCCCUAUCAACUUUCGAUGUUUGGGUAUUGGCCAAACAUGGUUGCAACGGGUAACGGAGGGUUAGGGCUCGACCCCGGAGAAGGAGCCUGAGAAACGGCUACUACAUCCAAGGAAGGCAGCAGGCGCGCAAAUUACCCAAUCCCGACACGGGGAGGUAGUGACAAUAAAUACUGAUACAGGGCUCUUUUGGGUCUUGUAAUUGGAAUGAGUACAAAUUUAAAUCCCUUAACGAGGAACAAUUGGAGGGCAA